Molecule: ribosomal RNA, 459 nt
Filed under: uncultured bacterium
Lineage: Bacteria
Description: bacterial SSU rRNA
Rfam family: Bacterial small subunit ribosomal RNA
Source: RNAcentral
UACGGGAGGCAGCAGUGGGGAAUAUUGCACAAUGGGCGAAAGCCUGAUGCAGCUAUGCCGCGUGUAUGAAGAAGGCCUUAGGGUUGUAAAGUACUUUCAUCGGGGAGGAAAAACAAAACUAAUAAUUUUAUUUCUUGACGUUACCCGAAAAAGAAGCACCGGCUAACUCCGUGCCAGCAGCCGCGGUAAUACGGAGGGUGCUAGCGUUAAUCAGAAUUACUGGGCGUAAAGAGCACGUAGGUGGUUUUUUUAAAGUCAGAUGUGAAAUCCCCUGGGCUUAACCUGGAACUGCAUUUUGAAACUGAAAUACUAGAGUAUCGUAGAGGGAGGUAGAAUUCUAGGUGUAGCGGUGAAAUGCGUAGAUAUCUGGAGGAAUACCUGUGGCGAAAGCGGCCUCCUAAACGAAUACUGACACUGAGGUGCGAAAGCGUGGGGAGCAAACAGGGAUUAGAUACCCGU